Molecule: small RNA, 537 nt
Filed under: Cryptococcus neoformans H99
Lineage: Eukaryota; Fungi; Basidiomycota; Tremellomycetes; Tremellales; Cryptococcaceae
Description: Cryptococcus neoformans var. grubii H99 hypothetical RNA
Source: RNAcentral
CUCUUUUCCCGCCAGCUGGAAUACUGUAGCAUCACCUGUCAGCUUAUCUAAAAUACAGACCUCGGUCGAGACACCGGGAAAACUGUCGGAAACACUGAAAAUAGAGUCCAAGAAGAGCGUGCCCUUCUCCAUAAGGGUCACCAGGGAUUAUACCUUUCAAUGUCAGAGUGAUGGAGGACGCAGCAUGUGGCGCUCGAGUCAGAUUGAGCGUUCAUGUGACCCGUGGCACUAAGGUUCUACCUACGUCCAGAUUCAAGCCAUUUCUGGCACACUUCGAGGCAUGCGACAUACUAUACUAGGCCAAAAAAAAAAGAUCCUCAUGCUGGAAUUUCCCUUUUCAAGGACAUCUGGCAGUUUUGAAUUUAAGAAGGUCCACACAAACAAUGACUGGGAUACACUCAGUCGUCAACAAAGACUUUAUUACAUACGGGAGACUUUGCAGAGGAGAUAUGGCCUCAUUAUCAACCAAGGUAUCAUCAACGAAAACACAAUCAUCAGCCUUAUUGUCCUCCUUGUUUCUGAACCAAGAAUGCAAAG